GAUGAACGCUGGCGGCGUGCCUAACACAUGCAAGUCGAACGGAGAUUACGGACGGAAGUUUUCGGAUGGAAGACUGUAAUUCUUAGUGGCGGACGGGUGAGUAACGCGUGGGCAACCUGCCCUAUACAGGGGGAUAGCAGCUGGAAACGGCUGGUAAGACCGCAUAAGUCGGCGAGACCGCAUGGUUUUGCCGGGAAAUGAGCAAUCAGGUAUAGGAUGGGCCCGCGUCCGAUUAGCCAGUUGGCAGGGUAAAAGCCUACCAAAGCAACGAUCGGUAGCCGGACUGAGAGGUCGGACGGCCACAUUGGGACUGAGACACGGCCCAAACUCCUACGGGAGGCAGCAGUGGGGGAUAUUGCACAAUGGAGGAAACUCUGAUGCAGCGACGCCGCGUGAGUGAAGAAGUAUUUCGAUAUGUAAAGCUCUAUCAGCAGGGAAGAUGAUGACGGUACCUGACUAAGAAGCCCCGGCUAACUACGUG
This 481-nucleotide ribosomal RNA is filed under the name uncultured bacterium. Its description in RNAcentral is "partial 16S ribosomal RNA". It matches the Rfam family "Bacterial small subunit ribosomal RNA", at positions 28 to 507 of the family's 1533-position model. The record is from RNAcentral.